UUGUUUUGCUUUUGUUAUAUACAUUUUUCCUAACUUAAUUUGUGGACUAUAAAGCCGAAAACAAAAAAUAACCCCACAUGGAAAACAUUCAUAUCUGAUUUAUGGAUCAGGUAAGCCAAACCACUAAUAUUUUGUAAAUGCUUUUUCUAUAUUGAAAAAAGCAGAAAAGAUAUAGAAAGAGUAAUUCUGUAGAAUUUGGAGCAAAAGGAAAUCAGCUAUGUGUUCUUAUAUGACUACAAUGGAUAAAUCAGUUACAUAUUUAUCAAAAGCAUACAUUAGUGACAUAAAGUAAGAGUUAUAUAACCGUCCAUUAUGUUUUAACCAAUAUCAGAGCAGCAGAAAACUGGUCAUAUAUGUUAUAUGACCAAGAAAAACUUGGUAAAGAAUGAUUUGUAUUAUUGUGUGAUCUAAUAUUGUACAAUAGCAGGUGAGGAAGCAGGUUGCUGAGUAUGAGGAGGUUGUGGAAUAAGUGGUUCAGGUAUACAUAGAGAAUACAAAACCCUAAUUAGGGCCGGCUAAUGUUAAUUAGGACCGGGCCACUAUACUAAACAUAUUGACUAAUAGUCAUCAACAAACAUGUAACAGCGUCAGACAGAAACGAGAAAAAAAGAAAGAUAACAGAGAGAGUGAAAGAUGAGCAUACCUUUGGAGCAAGAACAAGCAUGGAUUUUAGAGUCAAUUCACG
Molecule: long non-coding RNA, 685 nt
Filed under: Helianthus annuus (common sunflower)
Lineage: Eukaryota; Viridiplantae; Streptophyta; Magnoliopsida; Asterales; Asteraceae
Description: sRNA HanXRQr2_Chr15g0720321
Source: RNAcentral